CACAUAACAAAUAAAAAAAUAAAAACAUAAGGAAUAGGGGGAAGGGGAGGAAGCAAAAGAUUUAGGCCAUUGGCCCAAACCAACAAAACCUGUUCUAGUCUAGUUUUCUGAGCCUUUAGCUCGAGUCUUGCCCCACCUGUAUUAAAUUUACAACUUUGGCUUCAAAGCCCCCAAAUAAAUGAAUGAAUAAAUAAUGAAAUAAAAUAAAUAAAGACAACAAUAAUUAAGUAAAAUAACAAAUAAGACUUUUGAGUCUCUUAGCCGCUUCAAAGAUGGAUUUUAACCUAUUUCUUCCUCUUUCGUCCUCUUCUUUUGUGUCCAUAUGUAAGGUGACUGUCCUUUUUGGGGCUUCGAAAUUGACUCGAGAAGGAUGGGCCUUAGUGGCCCAUAUCGAUAAUGCAAAAGCGGGAAGAGUUUAUUUAAGACUCAAAUUUAUCCACAUGCAAAGCAAAGAAAAAGGAAAUUAAUCCAUGUGAAAUGAAGAUAAAUACGAAAGCAAAUUGAAGGAACUACCACUAAUGUUACACUGUAUAAGAUACAAUAUUAAUGUUAAACAAAUAUUGAUGCUAAGCAAAAUGUAACGAAGUAAAUGCACAAAAAAUAUUUUUGAUGCUAAACGAAAUACAGAAAUAAGUGCAGAAGGACUACUAUUAAUGUAAAACAAGAUACAGGAGAUGAAUCAAUAAAUCCAAAAUAAGGAAAAUUUGAAUAAAUAAAUAUAAAAAAAGACGAUCCGCUUGUAGGCAUGCAUACUUUCUGAAAUAAGAUGAUCUUACACUAUUUGCUAGCAUAUUGUGAGACAAAAUCCUAGGCAAAGCUUUUCACAUUUAGCAGAUUAAUCAUUCUUCGCCAUGCUUUAAGUGAAUCCGUUGGACGGGAUGGUAGAUUACUAUUAACAUUUAAACUAGAUGCUAAAGGGUCCAGGUGGGGAAACUUUAGCAAGGAAACGUUUAAACAAAAGUAUCAAAAGAAGCACAUUUAUAUAGCAACUCAAAGGAAGAAGCAAUUAUUCCAAUAAUUGAAUAUCUCACCUCCCGUGGAAAAUGUAUAGCCAAAAGUAGAUUAAAGGUCAAGGGAAAUCCCGAAAGGUGAGAUGAAUUCCAAUGAUACCCUUUGGAAUCUGAGAGGUAACAAAGACUAAAUCAACAUAAUGUUGGAAGAUGCCUUUGCACAUUUUCCACUUAGCUACAGAAAUCUCAACACAAAGAAAAUAGACAGCAAGCAAAAUCGCGGUAAACUCUAGGGAACUAUACUCAAAUAAAAAGAAAAAGCUAAUUGAUGCUAUUUGGCAUACUUGAAUAUAAUGGCAUGAAAGAAAAUAAUUCACUCUAUAUCAUAAGGACAAAUAAACAGAUUCAAUGAUAAAGGAAAAACUUUCCAAAUGAGCAAAUAUUUUUCAAAGCUCAAUCCAGGGGUACAAUCGAAAUAACACAUGGGUUCACGCCAUAAAUUCCUUGGGUUAUUAAGAGUCAAAGCUAUUUUACUAUAUUGAUUUUAACGAGUCAUAAUCAGUAUCAAAAAUCUUAGAGGGGAGAAAUAUAAGGGGCGAUGCAGACAAUAAAUAGAAAAAAAAGGAAAAGAACAACAACUAGUAAAUAAACCUUCUGUCAAAUCCGGAUUCAGCAUGAACUUGUUUGAGUGCCAAACACAGCCGGUUCUAAAUUAUAGUAUAUAACUACUUAUCCCAAGGAAUGAUCAUGGAUACAAAAAAAUAUUUCAACCGAGCAAAUUAUGCAUCUCAAGACAGAAAAAGAAGACCUAAGACAAUACGGAUAGCAAUACAGGCUUAGCAAACAUAAGAAAGGUUCAAGUAGGGACUCUUGGAUGGUGACAACACUGAACCAAAUAGCACAUGAAAAGAAACCAACAUAGCCUAAAAGGAAACCAAAAACUGAUUUAUAACGAGAUGAUAUUCAACGACCCCUGAAAAACAACAUGAACCGAAACGCAAAGAAGAAGAACCGUCAACAUAUUCAUCAUAGAGUCCUAUGGAUUGUCAAAUAUCCCAACAGAAAUCAGUUCCCAGCAAACAACGACAGUAUUAUAAUGAAAUAUUGAAGAAAGAGAUGAAGAAGAAGAAAACAACGACAAAAGUUAAAAGCGGAAAGAGGUGUUUACCUUUUUUGGAGCAGCAAAACAGAACUACGAGUUGACGUCGAAUUUCACCACCACCGGAGAAGCGUCGUAGUCAGCUUCGGAACUUCGGUUACGCAGACCAAUAUUCGGAAACAAAAUUUCCACUAAAAACAAAGAUUGAAUCUUUGCUUAUAAGUUUUUCCCUUCUUCUUUUCUCUCUCAAUUAGCACGCUUAAACAAUUUCACCCUUUACAUCAGUCCCAUCAUUACAGCUGCUCCCCUCCCCCCAAUAACCCCUCCUUCUUUGGUCCCAAAAAAACACCCCCCCCCCCCCCCCCCCCCCCCUCUCCUCUCUUUCUUUCUCCAAAAUAAUGAAGCAAUGAGUCCUUAUAUAAGACCAAAUUAGGGGUUUUUAGGGAUUCCACAAAUAGGAUAUUUUUGAAUUUGAAAUUCAAAUUUCCCAUUUGGCUUGGGGUUUCAUCAACAAGGACCCCUAUUUUGGAUUAUCUUCAACUGAUUUCCAAGAAAGGCCAAUAGAAAAUGGGGGAAAUGGAAUAGUCUCCCCCAAACCAAUAAAAAUGGCCCAAAUAUGUCCCAAAUUUGUACCUUCAUCCCGAGAUUCGCGGAUUUGAGCCAUUGGAGGUGACACCUAAGCUAUUUUUUAGAAGCUUCACAGUUCUUCUUCGUUGUAAUAUCGCGUGAGACGCGUGUGAGAAUGAUCGUGUCGGGUUUUUCGGAUCGUUGGCGAGUUGUUGGGGGUGUUAUCGGGUCCUUGGAUUUGGGUGGAGAGUUGUUGUUGUUUGUGGUCGAAGGUUGUAUGCUGAUUGUCAAAUCAAAAAUUGGAAGAUGAUAUUAUUGUUUUGGCUGAUGGAGAGGAAAUAUAUGGGAUGGGCCGGGUUGGAAGGUUGUUGUUGGGCUGAAAUAAAAUGAUAAUUCAAAAGAAACUGGGUUGCUGGUGGGCUGAAAUUGUUGCUAUGUUAAAUUGGGCUGGUUAGGUUGAUUAUUGUUGGGUUGUUGUGUUGGGCUUGGGAAAUUGCGGAUUAAUUUAAACUAAACCUCAAUUAAAUUAUGAUAUGGAUAGGUUAGGCUAUUUUGGCUAUUUAUUAAAUAGCCAAAAGAAAGAAACUUUAGGCAAUUUCAUUUAAUAUUUAGCCUAAUUAAACUCAAUCGACCAAUUGUAUUGAAAUUAUGGCCAUAUUAAUUUCAAUUAAGGUCUAAAUUUAAAUAGAUUGACUAAAUUCAAUUGAAAUAGAUACGAAUUAAUCCUUUGUUUGAUCCCGAGCUUCUUGAUUUAAUAAAACCAAACAAGUAUUUCUCCAAAUAGAUUAUUUGUAAGAAUAAAUUGUAUUUAAAUCAAGAUUUAAUUAUUUAAAUUUAUUUUCCAAAUAAUCUUUAAUUUAAAGUCCAAUUUUGAUGAAAAUGUUCAUUUAAAUAACAUCAUUUAUACAAUCUCAUAUAUGCAAAUACGAAAAUAUAUAAUUAUCACUUAAGUGACAAAUUUAGCCCAAAUACCUAUUUUAAAAUGCAUUUAUUUGGAAAAAAUAACUGUUGUGAUUUUAUUUGAAAAUCGAAGAAACUCGAGAUUAAACGUAGUUGUGGAGGGCAAAAAUUAGGUUUCAACAACUGCCUCCUCCAUUUGGAUAGGAUGGAUGCAAGUAAUCCUGGGCAAAGGGAGGUUGACGUUCCUAAUUUUUGUCCGAUCAUAAAUUUGUAUCUAAAGGAGGUUGGAUUUCUGCACGAGUUUCAUGGAGUUAUAGCCAAACCUCGAUAUUAGGUUUCCUACAUAUCUCAGGUUUCAUGAGAAUUCAGGCCACUUGUAGUUCAUAAACCUUGAUUUUAAGCACAAUUUUCAAGAAAAUUCAUCAACUAUCACGGUUUUAGAGUUUUUGGUUAAACCGAGAGGUUGGGGAAUAGAGAGAUUUGGGGGAGGUUGAAAUGCAGUCGAGUUUUCUACAUAGAGACUAGCCUACAUAUCCCUGAAACUCAAGGAAUCAAACUGCUUGUAGUUCGACUCAAUCGGUAGAAAAGAUAGUUUUCUAUUUCAGACGAUCUUUGGCUUGAGAUGAGUGACAAGUUGAUCGAGUUGAGGAAAAGAGGCUUGUAACCUCUUAACCAUGAAUGUGGUAUCCUUCACAUCCAUAGGAAAUAACUUACCUGGACGUAAUUUCCAAAACUCUAAGUGUGUUGCCACCCGAAUUUGAAAGAAAGAGAAGGUUACCCUUGGCAUGAGUUUAGAAAUAUCCCGAAGGUGAAUCUGAAACCAUAAUAUCCUGAAAUACCCACAUGCCUUCUAACAGGGGUGUGGUUGGAUGGUGUUGGUGAACAUCCUUUAGCUUGCGUCCAAAGAGUUUGACGUCCCUCUUUGGACUAUGUCCCAUUUUGCUGCUAAGAAAAAGUUCCACGUUGUGUUGCAUCCUAUUUGAAGUCAUCCACACCUGUGGUUUUGAUUUGAAAUUUUCAUCCUCUUGGAUGCUCUCGCUAAUGCUUCAAGCAAAAAGUGUUAGUGCUAAACAUAAUUUACGAAAGAGGUAUGUAGUCUUUUACCAUAUCUCCACGUGAGUUGUGGCCUGAAAAACGGAGACAUCUCUUCAUGUACCAGUUUGGAAUGAAAUAACCAGCAAUACCAAACACAACAACCCUCUUCGUUGUUAAAAAAUUAUGACAUUUAUCGGUUGAAUAUGUCUUCAAAGUGGGAUGGCCUUUUUGAACACCGGCGAUACUUUAUGCUGAACAGUCCCUACAACUGUGUAAUCUUAUGCUAGUGUGGCAACCCUUUUGGUUACCUAUAUCACUUAUCAUAUGUGGAAUGAUAAACUCUCCAGUUAUAGCCGAUGAUCGAUUUAUAAAUUUUUCUUAAAUUGUCAAUCUUCGGAUAAUCUUAUGCAUUAUUUGAUGUUGGAUAUGAGGAGACUUACAAAUAUCCUUUGAAUUGCUAGCUUUUAGGUAAUCCUGCAUAUUGUCUGACCUUGGAUAAGAGAUGGAUUACAGAUAUCCUUCCAAUCACUAGCUUUUAGGUGUUCCUACACAUCAUCCGACCUUGGAUACAAUAUGACUUAUAGAUAUCUCUCAAAUUGCUAGUCCUUGGGUAACCCUGCACAUAAUCGAUCUUGGAUAUAACGCAGCUUAUAGAGAAUCCUUGGACGUAUCAAUUUGAUAAUCUCGCAUAUUCUCCGGUAAGGAUUCAGUUGCGACUUAUGAAUAACCUCCAGACUAUCAAUUUUUGGGCGAUCUUGCACACUAUCUAAUUAUGAUGUUGUUGUGGCUUAUGGAUGACCUACAAGCUAUCAACUCAUAGGUGAUCUUGCACACUAUCCUAUUUUAAAUAAUAUGACUUAUAGAUGACCCUCAAACUGUCAAUUUCUAGGAAAUCUUAUAUACCAUUUAUCCUUAGACAUCGACUUAAAGGCGUCCCUUCAAACCAUGUGCUCUUGAUGCAUUCAGAUGUUGAUUAAUAAAAUGAUGAGAUAUCCACGACGCCAGCAUUUAUUCUUGCGUGUCAACAGAUAUAAAAUAAUGAUGAUAUCCUCGACGCCAGCGUUGUGUCUAGCGCAUCAACAGAUAUUGAAUGAUGAUGAUAUCCUCGAUGCCAGCAUUUUGUCUUACAUGUCAAUAGAUAUAUUGAAUGCUGAUGAUAUCCGCGACGCCAAUGUUGUGUCUAGCACGUCAGCAGAUAUUGCAUGAUGAUGAUAUCCUCGACGUCAGCGUUGUGUCUUUAAUGUCAAUAGAUAUGUUGAAUGUUAAUGAUAUCCUCGAUGCCAGCAUUGUGUCUAGCAUAUAAACAGAUAUUAAAUGAUAAUGAUAUCCUCGACGCUAGCGUUGUGUCUUGCGUGUCAACAGAUAUAAAAUGGCACUCUCGGCAAAUGAUAUGAAUGGCCCUCUUGGCAAUGAUAUGAAAUGACCCUCUUGGAAAUGAUAUGUAAUGUCCCUCUUGGCAAUGAUAUGCAAUGGCCCUUGCGGCAAUGAUAUGUGAUGGCCCUUGUGUCAAUGAUAUGCAAUGGCCCUUGCGGCAAUGAUAUGCAAUGGCCCUUUCUGCAAUGAUAUGUAAUGGCCCUUACGGCAAUGAUAUACAAUGGCCCUUGUGGAAAUGGUAUGCGAUGGCCCUUUCGGCAAUGAUAUGAAAUGGCCCUCUCGGCAAUGCUAUGAAAUGGCCCUCUUGGCAAUGAUAUGAAUGGCCCUCUUGGCAAUUUGAAAAUAGUUUCACCUGAGUUUGUUUGUCUGUGUCUUGCUUUCUACAUGUACCUGUACUCAAGGUAGAUGAUUAGUAGACAUAAAGUCGCUUUUGCGAGCGACUAUAUUUUUUAGAAAAAUUCUAAAUACAAUAUUUGUAAAGACAAGACACUUUUGUUUGUCCUCCAUGAUCUCAAGAAAUGAGAUGGACAAUUCAAAAGGUUCUCAAUAAAUGGGUAUUAAACCCAUUUUUAUGGAUACCCAAAAAUACCGUUCUUGAGCAUUAGUGCUCUGGUGUGGCUCGUAAUUUGCUCGGGGAUUUUUGAAAGAGACUCUCAUUUUUGUGUAUUGGUCCCUGCAUCCAUAGAAAAAUGAUUAGUUUGAGUUAAACUACUCCAUGUUGACUUUCUUUGAUUCUUCAUUUGCUCUACGCCAUCUUUUGGGUACUCUGUCAUGUUGGGACUUCCACCCUUGACUCCCCAUCCUAAUUGAUGUCUAGGAAAUCAUUAAGUAAAAGAUUUAUAUAGAUUUUUUAAAGUAGUCUUAAUUUUUUAGAAAAUAGUUUCGAAAACUCCUGCAAAACUUUAGAAAAUCUCUGCCAGUCAUGUCAUGUGCUAGCUCAACGGCUAUCUUUCUCUUGAUUCUGACAAUGUCCAACGUUUGGUGGAGGAUAGGUAGGGAUUCAACAUUUUUUAGGCUCUCUACCAGAAGUUUUAUCAAAGGCAGAGAUUCAGUAUUCGUAGACUUUAUCACAGGUGGUGAUUCUGAAAUCUCAACUUCGACCUUUAGUGCUGGGGAAUUUGAAAUAUAUUUCAAUAUUUGAUUGAAAUUUUGAGGCCUCCCUCAAAAUUUCUUCCCCAGUUUUAGUCUGAGAUGAUAUCAUCUUGAGUGGAUUUGAAGCCUUUGCUGAUCUUCAUUCUCUUUGUUGGAUGUUGAUCUUCUCUUGUGAAUUUUCGAGAUUUCUUCUCGAAAAUUCUGCCCUAGUUUUCAUUUCCUGAGGUUAUAUGACCGAGCCGUUGGGCGCCUACGUAUCUCGUUGAAGCAGGAAUUAGGUCAAACGUAGUUCAAGAUAAAGGGAAAUAAUAUAUUAUCCUAAGGGGUUGACCGAAGCCGACAUAGGCUGUCUACGUAUCCCUUUCUUGGGAAUUCAGGUCAAACAUAGUUCGUACAUAAAGGGAAAGGAUUCUAGGCAAUUACACAUCAUAAAAUUGAUACUAUUAUGAAGGUGAUUAAAAAUAAGCCAAGAAAAAAAAACUAUAACAUCUUUCAAGCACAAUAUCUCUUUACCGCAUCAAAAUUAAUUGGUUUGGUCCACUCUUGACCAUCCAUCUCAGGUAGGAUUAGGGCUCCUCCAGGUUGGGCUUCUUUUGAUUUUCACAUUCCUCUGCAUCUACUACUAACUACUCCUCACCAUCUUUUUCUGUUCAUCAUUAUUUUCUUUGCUCUGUUCGUCUAACCCUCGACAUGACAUAACAUUGACAGGUUUUUGAAUUAUUGUUACCAAAAUAAGCCAUGCUAGAUAAUUAUAUUUAAAAAAUAACUUCUUAAAUAAAGGGAGGCCUUUUGUAAAAUAAAUAAAACUAUGUCUUAGGACCCACACAAAUAUGGGCCCAUGCCUUUUUGAGAGUUGUAAACACGAAACAAAAAUUUGAGACAUAAAAGGUGGAUCACGGGGCCUCCUCCGGAUCAUCACCGAUUUUAAAAACUAUUGGUAAUUUCCCUUUCAUCUACCGUGACGGGAGACGAAUUAGGAGCGAAGUGGAAGUCUAAUUUUUUAAAGCUUCUCCUGGUGCAACCUUCUUCAUCCCACCGGACUUAUCUGGUAGAGCAUUGGAUCCUUUGAACAGAUCUCCUAUCCUAUCCCCAAGACCAUUAUCAUUUGACAUCUCAUGUACCGGAAAUGACUGGUACAAGAGCGGCAAGGGCCUAAAUAGACUCUCCUUUGAAUUAUCUUCGAUCUCAUCUUUCUUUCUUGGUUGGUACUCUAUUCCAUGCUUAAAAGCUUUUUCUGGGACCAUAACAGGCUUGAUAAUUCUUUCUAAAUCCUUACUUAAGGUGGCCACAACUUCCUCUAUCUUCUCUAUCUCUUGUGUUCCUUUGAUUCCUUCUGAAUUUACCUUAGUGAUCGCCUUGCUAGAAGUCCAUUCACCUUCUAUUUCAAUCAUGUUAACUGUAGGUCCCCCAUGGUUAGGAAAUGGAUUACUAUUAACAUUUGGUGUCGGCGACUGAAGCGUGAUGACCUUCUGAUCGAUCAAAUCUUGGAUCUUAUGUUUCAAGUUAAUACAAUCCUCUGUACUGUGCCCCGCUGCUCCUGAAUGAUAGGCACAAUUUUGAUCGGGAUGAUAAAAUCAGGAGUUUGGAUUGAUAGGCUUUGGCUGGAUCUGUUGCAAAUAACCAGCUUUCAUCAAUAUUCCAAAGAGCUGGGUAUAACUUUCAGCUAGAGGCAUGAAGUUUUGGGGAGGUUUCUUUUUGAAGUUUGGACGUGGAAGGUUAUAAUGGUUCUGAUUUACAGAAGGAGGUACUUGAUGAUAAUUUGGAGACGUUUGGACAUUUAUUUGGUUAUUUGAAAGAGUAGCUUGAGUAUGAGGCUGAUAAUUUGGCUGUAGAACUUGGUACUGGGGUAAAAUAUUUGGAAUUAGAGCUUGAUAUUGGGGAUGGGCGUAGAAUACAGGCUAAAAAUUAGGUGAUGGUGGUGAGGAAAGAAUAUUCCUAGGCUUGAAUUUCCUCUUCAAUUUAUCAACAAAAUCAGUAGAGACCACAGUCACAUCCUCUUUUUUCUUCUUUGAGAAUGCAGAAGAUUCAGAUGAUGUUGGGGUUUUGGCAAUUUUUCCUGUUCGGAUGCCUUCCUCUAAUGAUUCUCCAAUCUUUACUAAGUCUGCGAAAGUUGCAUGGACCACGGACACAAACCUGGUAUAAUAUUCUCAUUCCUGUGCGUGAGAGAAAACUGAUACCAUUUCUUCCUCAGACAUGGGAGGUCGUACUUUAGCAGCCUCUUUUCUCCAACAAAAGGCGUAGUCUCGAAAAUACUCAUUAUUAUUCUGUUUGAUCUGAUCUAGUGAGUAUCGGUCAGGGACCAUCUCAAUGUUAAAUGCGAACCUGUCAAGGAAAUCCUUGGACAAUGCUUUCCAACCAGUCCAUCUUUUCAGUUCCUGAAACCAAUCUAAGGCUUUGCCACUUAAACUUCGGCUGAACAGACGCAUCAAUAACGUCUCAUUUUUUCCUACCCCCACCAUUUGAUCACAAUACCUUCUCAGAUAGGCCAUUGGAUUUUCGGUGCCAUUGAUCACUUCAAAUUUAGGGACCUUAUACCCUUCUGGUAGAUCUAUUCCAGGGUGAACACAUAAAUCAUCAUACCCUAAACCAUCGUAGUCCCUCACUCCAUGGGAUUCUUUGAUCCUCAUGAUCUCUUCAUUCAAAGCUAGCAACUUUAUUUCAUGCUGAGUCCUCCACUCUUUCUCCUUCUCCUCAUAAUAGUCCAUCUCGGGAUUAGGGAGAGGAUUAUAGAUAUCAGGGGAUAUAAUGGCAUGGAGAGGAUUUGGAAGGGAGGCUUGAUUUUGCGGAUGAAACGAAGUGGGUUGGUAGGUGAGGCGAACGUUAUGAAAAUUAGAAAGGUUUUGUGGAAUUUGAGAGUGAUUUGGAGAUGGGUUUUGUGGGGUUAGAGAUAGGUUUUUUGGAUGGUAGGCAUCUGGGUUAUUUUCAUGAUUAGUGUUUUGGACAAAUGGAGGAGCGGAGACGAGCAUAUGUUAUUAGACUGAUUCCCAAGAAUCAGUGUACUGAGGGGAGAAAUUUGGAGUGGAGUCUCAUGUCCUCCUAGAGCGAGGGCAUUGACGGUGAUGGCUAGGUUAGCCAAAUCUCGAGUGUGGUUUAUUUCCUCCUGAAGCAUUUCUAAUUUUCUUGCGAGUUCCGCAAUCAUCUCACUCUGUUCCACUAUUACAUUGUCCUUGAUGAUCAAUAUGUUUUCUUCAUCAUUUCAAGUUAUUAUUGAAUGAUGGUCAGAGGAUGGGAUUUUAUGCGUUUUUGACCGGGUAAAGUAGGGAUGUUCUGCCAGCUUAUAUCAACAUAGAGUAGUUUCUAUUAUCUAUUAAGUAAAACAACUCAAAGGCAGAUGUGUUAGUUUCCGUAUGUGAUAAGUAAUGCAAAAUAUUUUGACAAGAAAUAACCACAUAGAGUUUUUUGAUUCAUAGCCGAAUUCAUCCAUAGGAGCAUAGCGGAUAAACUUGCCUUUGAUCCAAACAAACACACAUAAGCACAUAAGACAAUUAUAUUACACAAAACAUUAUGAUAAUGCGUAUCCUAACUGGGGUAACCCUUUUUUGAGCCAAGGGUUCAGGGCUAGCGAUUUUUGAAGAAAAUAUAUGCUUCCCUAAAAUCAAUCCACUAUCCCCCAACUUAUACAGACACGAAAAGUUCAUAAAUGCUUACAAACGAUAACAAAAGAAGGAUACAAUCUUUAGGGAAAAAGAAAAAUAACAUGAAAGAAGAUAAGCUCCCACGCAGGGGAUAGAAAAUACUAAUUCCUGAGUGCUUCUUCUAUCAGCCUUCGCCUUCUCAAAUUUGUCCAUUUCUUAUAUUGGUGACGUCUGUAAACUGUGCCUUAGAUGCAACCUCCCUAAUCGAUCAAUUUCUUGCUUAACUUGCUUCAAUUCUUCUUACAGAAGUAAGCAAAUCAAGCUUUUUCUGACCCCCAAAGGAUAAUGGAUUGAAUUAGACAGGCAUAAAUUUUCUUCAACACAUAAAUAUAGUUCGUCCAUAAUUGACUUGGGGUCAAUAGACGUAGGACAGGUUUUCUAAUAGGCCCAAUACCCUGCUCGGGUAUUGGGUCGUCCUAGGAUCAUGCCUAAAAUAGGGUUUUGGUUUCGUUCUAUCUUAGGUGACUAGAGUGGGUUUGAACACUAGUUCUCAAGCGGACAACUUGAGUUUGAAAAUAUGAACAAUGUCAGACAACUCACGUGCUAAUAAGCUGUUCGUAUUUUCAACACAUUUUGGGAUUGAACAAUAGGGGCCGGGACAUCCACAAAACCCUAAAACAGUUUAAAUAAUACAGGAAUAUGCCAUGAGAUACGAUAAUUAAACUUUACAGAAUCGAAACAUAUAAACAUAUAAACAGUUAAUCAAAAGACGAAAUCAAACAUUUGGUUAGAACCUAGUUAAUCAGUCCCCAACAGAGUCGCCAUUUCUAUUUUGCGGAGAAAUUUGACUUUUGAAAGUCGCCACUUAAUUUUGAAAAAAGGAAUUAAGAAACCUUUAGAGAGUUACUUAAAAUGAUUCAAAACAGGAAAAUCAUUUAAGUUUCGAAGAUUCUGAGUAUGUGGUUCUUAUUAACAUUUUAGGAAGGUGUUAUGCAUCUAAAACAUCCUCUAACUUGCGGUUAUCCUAACUGUUUGAAAAUCGUUUUUUGAUUAACUUCGAAAAGAUUAAUUUUUCUCGAAAAGUGAUUGAUUUUUUUUUUUUGAAAGAAAGCAAUUUUGAAAAUAGUUUGAUUUUUAUGCAAAAAUAGUUUUUUAGCGACUAAACUAAGGAUUUAACUAGGUUCGCAAAGCACAUAAAAAAUAAAAAAAAUAAAAACAUAAGGAAUAGGGGAAAGGGAGGAAACAAAAGAUUUAGGCCAUUGGCCCAAACCAACAAAACCUGUCCUAGUUUAGUUUUCAGAGCCUUUGGCUUGAGUCUUGCCCCACCUGUAUUAAAUUUACAACUUUGGCUUUAAAGCCCCCCAAAAAAUGAAUGAAUGAAUAAUGAAAUAAAAUAAAUAAAGACAACAAUAAUUAAGUAAAAUAACAAAUGAGAUUUUUGAGUCUCUUAGUCGCUUCAAAGAUGGAUUUUAACCUAUUUCUUCCUCUUUCAUCCGCUUCUUUUGUGUCCAUAUGUAAGGUGAUUGUCCUUUUUGGGGCUUCGAAAUUGACUCGAGAAGGAUGGGCCUUAGUGGCCCAUAUCGAUAAUGCAAAAGCGGGAAGAUUCCAUUUAAGACUCAAAUGUAUCCACAUGCAAAGCAAAGAAAAAGGAAAUCAAUAUAUGUGAAAUGAAGAUAAAUACGAAAGCAAAUUGAAGGAACUACCACUAAUGUUACACUGUAUAAGAUACAAUAUUAAAGUAAAACAAAUAUUGAUGCUAAGCAAAAUGUAACGAAGUAAAUGUACAAAAAUUAUUUUUGAUGCUAAACAAAAUACAGAAAUAAGUUCAGAAGGACUACUAUUAAUGUAAAACAAGAUACAGGAGACGAAUCAACAAAUUCAAAAUAAGGGAAAUUUGAAUAAAUAAAUAUAAAAAAAGACGAUCCGCUUGUAGGCAUGCAUACUUUCUGAAAUAAGAUGAUCUUACACCAUUUGCUAGCAUAUUGUGAGUUCAUACUUUCUAUGAUCUUACACCAUUUGCUAGCAUAUUGUGAGUUCACAUUUAGCAGAUUAAUCAUUCUUCACCACGCUUUAAUUGAAUCCGUUGGACGAGAUGGCAGAUUACUAUUAACAUUUAAACUAGAUGCUAAAGGGUCCAGGUGGGGAAACUUUAGCAAGCAAACGU
Molecule: long non-coding RNA, 12756 nt
Filed under: Capsicum annuum
Lineage: Eukaryota; Viridiplantae; Streptophyta; Magnoliopsida; Solanales; Solanaceae
Description: long non-coding RNA (CANN_LNC008958)
Source: RNAcentral